Molecule: ribosomal RNA, 172 nt
Filed under: Loxosomella plakorticola
Lineage: Eukaryota; Metazoa; Entoprocta; Loxosomatidae
Description: partial 18S ribosomal RNA
Rfam family: Eukaryotic small subunit ribosomal RNA
Source: RNAcentral
CCCUUUGUACACACCGCCCGUCGCUACUACCGAUUGAAUGGUUUAGUGAGAUCUUGGGAUCGGGCGCUAAGGGGCUUCCCUAAGCGACUGAGAAGAUGAUCGAACUUGAUCAUUUAGAGGAAGUAAAAGUCGUAACAAGGUUUCUGUAGGUGAACCUGCAGAAGGAUCAUUA